UACGAACCGUCCAAACGUUAUUCGGAAUCACUGGGCUUAAAGGGUUUGUAGGCGGCCACGCAAGUGGGGUGUGAAAUCCCUCGGCUCAACCGAGGAAUUGCGCUCCAAACUGUGUGGCUUGAGGGAGACAGGGGUAAGCGGAACUGAUGGUGGAGCGGUGAAAUGCGUUGAUAUCAUCAGGAACACCGGUGGCGAAAGCGGCUUACUGGGUCUCUUCUGACGCUGAAAAACGAAAGCUAGGGUAGCGAACGGG
This 253-nucleotide ribosomal RNA is filed under the name uncultured bacterium. RNAcentral describes it as "partial 16S ribosomal RNA". It matches the Rfam family "Bacterial small subunit ribosomal RNA", at positions 524 to 776 of the family's 1533-position model. RNAcentral also lists the same sequence under 1 other name. The record is from RNAcentral.